RNAcentral lists this long non-coding RNA (1989 nucleotides) under Homo sapiens (human). RNAcentral's name for it is "long independently transcribed non-coding RNA 680 (LINC00680)". Lineage: Eukaryota; Metazoa; Chordata; Mammalia; Primates; Hominidae. The record is from RNAcentral.
GGAGGCGGUACUUCCUCCAGCAUUUGCCGCGAGUUAUUGGCAAGUUCCCCUGCAGUUGUUUGGGCUGUCGCUGUGGCUGGUUCUGCGGUGUGCGGCCAGCCAUGGAGCGCUCUGGGCCCAGCGAAGUGACAGGCUCAGACGCAUCGGGACCGGACCCGCAGCUUGUGGUCACCAUGGGCUUCACGGGGUUCGGGGUUCGGUAAAAAAGCUCACACAUUUGACUUGGAAGCAAUGUUUGAACAAACUCAAAGAACAGCUGUGGAAAGAAGUCACAAAACACUGGGCCACCAGGAACACACCUGUAGCCCAGCAAAGUUGAGGCCAUCGACUGGCUCAUCACAACAAGGAAGGCUGUGCACCACUGGGACCCAGCAGCAGCUCAGCAGCAGCAGUGAGAGGGCCUUGGGAAAGACUUGGAGGGUUUGGCUUAUACAAGACCAGAUUACAGAGGGGUAUUGAUUUGCCUUGCCCCCGCCCCCACCAUCACAGUGUGUCCCUGUCCAGUGUUGGUGCUGUGUGGCAUUGCUUGUGUCCAUAGGAGUCCAUCAAGGCAGAGCGGCAGAGCGGCAAGCAGAGCGGCAAGGCAGGUCAGCUUCCGGCUCUUCCAGGCUGCAUGUCCCCCUCAAUAUCCUUUCAACCCAAUGGAAAUGGAUUGAAAGAGUGAAAGUCACUGGUCUCAAAGAAUCUACGGAAUUUAGCAUUUUGAAAAUCACAGAGCAAUUUUGGGUAGGUAUUCACAUGCACUAAAAAACCAGGCAAACAUCUGACUCCCAGGAUAAAGUGACUGAGAGCAGUAGAAGACUUGUUGAGCCUUAAGGAAUAAGAGGAAAAUUAUGUUAUGAAGUGCAGGAACAGCACAGACCCAGACGAGGGGAUGCAGCCCGGAGCCAGUAACCCGGCGCCUCCUCCUCCCCAGGGCGCAGCGCUGGCUGCUCCCCGGAUACCGUGAUCACACGUCCCAGGUCCUGAGAGCGCCUCAUAGGUAGACAGUUCUUUGGGACUUUUGGGACGCAGCACUUGAAGAGAGGUUUACCUAAACUUUCCUCCUGGGAGCCUGUCAUCAUUUGAAAGUAACAGAAGAAAGCUGUCAGGCUGAGGAAAGUUUCAACAGGCACUUGGUGAGAAUGGGAAGCAUCCAUUCAUUGGGAAAUCACGGGGACAGAGGAGGAAUUCACGGGAUCAGAGCACUGAGAAACUCCAGAGGCUUCUGGUUCACCGCCCUGAUUCCACAGAUGUGGGUCAGAGGCAGAGAUGGAAGUUGGAAUGGACAAGCCUGCCCUCUCCUCAGCUCUCCAUGGCUCUGUCCUCAGGCUGUUUCUGCAAUUUGACAUGAGGCCUGGCCCCAGGGAAACCAGUGGGGCCUCAUCUCCUCCCUGUGCUGCUCUGAGGUGGAGCCUUCUCAGGGUCAGUCCAGCUCUGGAGCCCCUCUCCAGCUCGGUCACCAAAGCUGUCUGGUCCCAGGGCAGUGUGGAGUGACAGGCACGCCAGCCAAUCCAAUCGGCCAUUUCAUACCCAAUGCAUGUGACUGAUAAAGAGAUAACACCCUGUCUCCAAGACACAGGCUUUACAUAAACAGCUUUAAUGACUUCUUCACUUAGGGACAAGACUCCUUAGUGGUGGAACCUCAGGCAUCCAUGCAGGAUGUAAGAAAGCUCCCGUAUAUACAUGAACUGAGAAGUGUGUAGAAGAGUAAAUACUGUAAUAGGUAAUAAAAUGUAUGUAUUUUUAUUUAUGUGCUACUUUGUCUUUCUCCCUCUCUGUGUAUAUACACAUACAUACAAAAAUGUAUUCAUUCUAUGGAAAACAUGAAAGAUGUAAUAUUCUUUACAUAUUUAAUUAAUGUAUUUUUUCUGAUCAUAUGAACACCACAAAUAUAAUUUUAUAAUUUUUUUACCUAACAAUAAGUCUUAAACAUAAAUAUACAUGGACAAUAUCAUAGUUUUUUUUUUAAUCAUAAUUAAAAUGGUUGUGAAACAAAAAAAAAAAAAA